UGUGCGACCUCAGCUCAGGCGGGGCUACCCGCUGAGUUUAAGCAUAUCAAUAAGCGGAGGAAAA
This 64-nucleotide ribosomal RNA is filed under the name Gilletiodendron pierreanum. Its description in RNAcentral is "partial 26S ribosomal RNA". It matches the Rfam family "Eukaryotic large subunit ribosomal RNA", at positions 1 to 60 of the family's 3401-position model. Lineage: Eukaryota; Viridiplantae; Streptophyta; Magnoliopsida; Fabales; Fabaceae. The record is from RNAcentral.